RNAcentral lists this ribosomal RNA (460 nucleotides) under uncultured bacterium. Its description in RNAcentral is "partial 16S ribosomal RNA". It matches the Rfam family "Bacterial small subunit ribosomal RNA", at positions 338 to 795 of the family's 1533-position model. The record is from RNAcentral.
CCUACGUGAGGCAGCAGUGAGGAAUAUUGGUCAAUGGACGAGAGUCUGAACCAGCCAAGUAGCGUGAAGGAUGACUGCCCUAUGGGUUGUAAACUUCUUUUAUAUGGGAAUAAAAUGUUCCACGUGUGGGAUUUUGUAUGUACCAUAUGACUAAGGAUCGGCUACCUCCGUGCCAGCAGCCGCGGUAAUACGGAGGAUCCGAGCGUUAUCCGGAUUUAUUGGGUUUAAAGGGAGCGUAGGGGGAUGGUUAAGUCAGUUGUGAAAGUUUGCGGCUCAACCGUCAAAGUGCAGUUGAAACUGGCAGUCUUGAGUACAGUAGAGGUAGGCGGAAUUCGUGGUGUAGCGGUGAAAUGCUUAGAUAUCACGAAGAACUCCGAUUGCGAAGGCAGUUCACUGGACUGCAACUGACACUGAGGCUCGAAAGUGUGGGUAUCAAACAGGAUUAGAUACCCCAGUAGUC